UCCCAAGUGCUAGGAUUAAAGGCCCGGCAUCACUUGGUUUUUAUGUAUGCCAGCCAGUGACAUGGUUAUGUUCUGGAAAGAAACUGAAGGCACUGUUACUGGUCUGACAGUCACUGUGAUCUGUGAUCAAGACUAGUCAUGACCACAAAUAUCCUUAUUAAACCAGCUUUUAAACAUUUUUCUUUAAUCCCAGCACUUGGGAGGCAGAGACAGGCCGUUCUCUGUGAGUUCCAGACCAUCUUGGUCUACAGAGUGAGUUCCAGGAUAGCCAAGGCUACAAAGAGAGACAUUACCUUUAAAAACUAAAAAAAAAAAAAAAAAAAGUUUUUAUAUGGUGCGGGUAUUUGGCUGCAUAUAGUCUCUGUACCAUGCAUGUGCCUAGUACUCAGGGUGGGAAUUGGAUGGAUCCCCUGGGACCAGAGUCACAGAUGGCUGAGAGCCAUCGUGUGGAUGCUGGGGCCACUGAGCCAUCUCUCCAGCCGCCAACUUCUUCUUUCAGGCGAUGCUAGGGUCUAGCAGGCGAUGCUAGGGUCUAGCCCAGGGCCUUGCACAUGCUAGGCAAGCUUUUUACCGCUGAGCUGGAGUUAGAGCCCGGACCGUGAAUGUUCGUGCUAGCUUCCUGCUGGGGCUACUUGGCACCCUGUGGUGACAGUUGUACCAGCCCUGCCUCUCUGAGGCCAUACACUCCCUGGUAAGGUGCUUGUUCUUCCGCAGGUCUCCAUCGCACCUCGGACAAACGCUGCUUUGGGCUUCUCUCAGAUGCUCCCUCGGGACCAGUACCUCUUCACCAAGGAGCAGCUGUUUGAGCGCAUGUGCAUGGCCCUAGGUGGCCGUGCAGCUGAAGCCAUCUCAUUCAGCAGGGUCACCUCUGGUGAGCAAAUAGCCCUUGGGUAGGACUGUCAGUAGGCACUGCCAUGCCUGUCUCUUGGUGUUCAGUGCACUUGGCAGGGUGAGGCUGGUGGAAGGUAUUAAAAUGUCAUGUAUUGGGCUGUAAUGUGAUUGGUUAAUUACUGGUCAUGGCUAUGGCUACAUCAAACUGGAUGUUAGAGCAGUCACUGGAUAUCCAGAAAGGUCAUGGUGGGUCUCAGGACACUGUGCCUGAAGAGUGACAGGCUUAAAACC
RNAcentral lists this long non-coding RNA (1122 nucleotides) under Mus musculus (house mouse). RNAcentral's name for it is "long non-coding RNA chr8:123092876-123093998". Lineage: Eukaryota; Metazoa; Chordata; Mammalia; Rodentia; Muridae. The record is from RNAcentral.